UGGGGAAUAUUGGACAAUGGGCGCAAGCCUGAUCCAGCCAUGCCGCGUGAGUGACGAAGGUCUUCGGAUUGUAAAGCUCUUUUGGCGGGGACGAUAAUGACGGUACCCGCAGAAUAAGCCCCGGCUAACUUCGUGCCAGCAGCCGCGGUAAUACGAAGGGGGCUAGCGUUGUUCGGAAUCACUGGGCGUAAAGCGCACGUAGGCGGAUUUGUUAGUCAGGGGUGAAAUCCCGGGGCUCAACCUCGGAACUGCCCUUGAUACUGCAAAUCUCGAGUCCGAUAGAGGUGAGUGGAAUUCCUAGUGUAGAGGUGAAAUUCGUAGAUAUUAGGAAGAACACCAGUGGCGAAGGCGGCUCACUGGUCCGGUACUGACGCUGAGGUGCGAAAGCGUGGGGAGCAAACAGGAUUAGAUACCCCAGUAGUCCCUGAGCGGGCUGGCAAGGCGCAU
This 447-nucleotide ribosomal RNA is filed under the name uncultured bacterium. RNAcentral's name for it is "bacterial SSU rRNA". It matches the Rfam family "Bacterial small subunit ribosomal RNA", at positions 355 to 825 of the family's 1533-position model. The record is from RNAcentral.